GCCGGGUAUGGUGAUGCACGCCUGUAAUCCCAGCUACUCAGGAGGCUGAGGCAGGAGAAUCGCUUGAACCUGGGAGGCAGAGGUUGCAGUGAGCUGAGAUUGCACCACUGCACUCUAGCCUGGGUGACAGAGCGAGACUCUGUCUCAA
Molecule: small RNA, 148 nt
Filed under: Macaca fascicularis (crab-eating macaque)
Lineage: Eukaryota; Metazoa; Chordata; Mammalia; Primates; Cercopithecidae
Also listed under: 1 other name
Description: Metazoan signal recognition particle RNA (ENSMFAG00000048504.1)
Source: Rfam by way of RNAcentral